GGAGGAGGAAGGAGGGAGGCAGCGCUCCGGCGGCUCCGCGCCCCGCACUCCCGGACCUGAAGCCGGGAAGUUAAAUAAUGGCAGAGACAAGUCUGUUAGAUGCUGGGGCCUCUGCAGCCUCCACAGCUGCAGCGCUGGAGAACUUACAGGUGGAGGCGAGUUGCUCUGUGUGCCUGGAGUAUCUGAAGGAGCCUGUCAUCAUUGAGUGUGGACACAACUUCUGCAAAGCUUGCAUCACCCGUUGGUGGGAGGACCUAGAGAGGGACUUCCCUUGUCCUGUCUGUCGAAAAACAUCCCGCUACCGCAGUCUCCGACCUAAUCGACAACUAGGCAGUAUGGUGGAAAUUGCCAAGCAGCUCCAGGCUGUUAAGCGGAAGAUCCGAGAUGAAAGCCUCUGUCCCCAGCACCAUGAGGCCCUCAGCCUCUUUUGCUAUGAGGACCAGGAGGCUGUAUGUUUGAUAUGUGCAAUUUCCCACACCCACCGGGCCCACACCGUCGUGCCACUGGAUGAUGCCACACAGGAGUACAAGGAAAAAUUGCAGAAGUGCCUGGAGCCCCUGGAGCAGAAGCUGCAGGAGAUCACCCGCUGCAAGUCCUCUGAGGAGAAGAAGCCUGGAGAGCUCAAGAGACUAGUGGAGUGUCGCCGGCAGCAGAUCUUAAAGGAAUUUGAAGAGCUUCAUAGGCGGCUGGAUGAAGAGCAGCAGAUGUUGCUUUCACGACUGGAGGAGGAGGAACAAGACAUUCUACAGCGCCUCCGAGAAAAUGCUGCUCAUCUUGGAGACAAGCGCCGGGACCUGGCCCACUUGGCUGCUGAGGUGGAGGGCAAGUGCUUACAGUCAGGCUUCGAGAUGCUUAAGGAUGUCAAAAGUACCCUGGAAAAAUGUGAGAAGGUGAAGACCAUGGAGGUGACUUCUGUGUCUAUAGAGCUGGAAAAGAACUUCAGCAAUUUCCCCCGACAGUACUUUGCCCUAAGGAAAAUCCUUAAACAGCUAAUUGCGGAUGUGACCCUGGACCCAGAGACUGCUCACCCUAACCUAGUCCUGUCAGAAGAUCGUAAGAGCGUCAAGUUUGUGGAGACAAGACUCCGGGAUCUCCCUGACACACCACGGCGGUUCACCUUCUACCCUUGUGUCCUGGCUACUGAGGGCUUCACCUCAGGCCGACACUACUGGGAGGUGGAGGCCGCCCACUGUGUCCUUGCGCAGGACCCCACGAACCAGGCGCUGGCGAGGUUUUACUGCCACACGGAGAGGACCAUCGCAAAGCGGCUGGUCUUGCGGCGGGACCCCUCGGUGAAGAGGACCCUCUGUCGUGGCUGCUCUUCCCUCCUCAUCCCGGGCCUCACCUGCACCCAGCGCCAGAGACGCUGCAGGGGACAGCGCUGGACAGUACAGACUUGCCUAACUUGCCAACGCAGCCAGCGUUUCCUCAACGAUCCUGAUCAUCUACUCUGGGGAGACCGGCCUGAGGCCCAGCUGGGGAGCCAGGCAGAUCUCAAACCACGAGAGCCCCUGCCAAAUGCAGCUCACCCCGUUCCAGCCCACCUCCCUGAGGAGAAAGUGUAGCCUCAGAGCUCCAGUCACCAGUGA
Molecule: RNA transcript, 1589 nt
Organism: Odobenus rosmarus divergens (Pacific walrus)
Lineage: Eukaryota; Metazoa; Chordata; Mammalia; Carnivora; Odobenidae
Gene name: E3 ubiquitin-protein ligase TRIM39-like
Exons: 11
Source: RefSeq, a predicted model, not a curated record